RNAcentral lists this unclassified non-coding RNA (202 nucleotides) under Hevea brasiliensis (rubber tree). Lineage: Eukaryota; Viridiplantae; Streptophyta; Magnoliopsida; Malpighiales; Euphorbiaceae. The record is from RNAcentral.
AAACAGUUUGAAUCUUAGCAGCAGCCCAUUUCUCCCGCCCACCUGUAAACAUAGCACCCCUGCCUUGGCUAGUCAAUCUCACCACCGCAACAGCCGCCUGCGCUGCAGCUACCGCGGCAUCUGCUGCUGCCGCAGUAGCUGCAGCCACAGCAAUUGCGUGCUUACUCUGCUCCUUCUCAUUCUCAGAAAUAUAAGAUCUCAG